GACGAACGCUGGCGGCGUGCUUAACACAUGCAGGUCGAACGGAAAGGCCCUGCUUUUGUGGGGUGCUCGAGUGGCGAACGGGUGAGUAACACGUGAGUAACCUGCCCUUGACUUUGGGAUAACUUCAGGAAACUGGGGCUAAUACCGGAUAGGAGCUCCUGCUUCAUGGUGGGGGUUGGAAAGUUUCGGCGGUUGGGGAUGGACUCGCGGCUUAUCAGCUUGUUGGUGGGGUAGUGGCUUACCAAGGCUUUGACGGGUAGCCGGCCUGAGAGGGUGACCGGCCACAUUGGGACUGAGAUACGGCCCAGACUCCUACGGGAGGCAGCAGUGGGGAAUAUUGCACAAUGGGCGGAAGCCUGAUGCAGCAACGCCGCGUGCGGGAUGACGGCCUUCGGGUUGUAAACCGCUUUCGCCUGUGACGAAGCGUGAGUGACGGUAAUGGGUAAAGAAGCACCGGCUAACUACGUG
This 468-nucleotide ribosomal RNA is filed under the name uncultured bacterium. RNAcentral describes it as "partial 16S ribosomal RNA". It matches the Rfam family "Bacterial small subunit ribosomal RNA", at positions 28 to 507 of the family's 1533-position model. The record is from RNAcentral.